RNAcentral lists this long non-coding RNA (1686 nucleotides) under Numida meleagris (helmeted guineafowl). RNAcentral describes it as "lncRNA (ENSNMEG00000012803.1)". Lineage: Eukaryota; Metazoa; Chordata; Aves; Galliformes; Numididae. The record is from RNAcentral.
AUGCUGGGCACAGCAGGUGUCUUAAGAAGGAUCUGGUGUAGGAACGAGAAGUGUGCUCUGCUCCAAAAAUCUCCUUCCUGUCUCUCAGCUUCUUCCUAUUUAAAAAGACAGCUGGAAUAUAAGGAGGUCUAAGUAACAGAAGGGAUGGCUGCAGUGCACGCGGUGCCUUUAGUGCCCUCCUCAACACAGCACCCGAAAAAUCAGAGCUGGAACCGAGAGAGUAAUGGUUUUGUGGCCAUUUAGCAACCAUCUGCUAAAAGAUGGAGAUCAUUCUGUGAAGGUACAUGUGACUGAAAGGUUAGGUAAAACCUUCCAGUGUGUGUGUUUGCGAUGAAGGACUGAUAUUUAUUUGGUAUAGUUGAAAUUGCAAGAACUCUUCUCGCCUCAGCGAUUUGUAUCUGCUACAUUAAGAUGAACACUGAAAACCUUAAUGUGAUGUCUGAAAUGAUGAUUAAUUUACGGCAUUCAUCUUGGUUUGCUAAUCAUUCUGGCUUUAGCUGAUAUUUUUAUUUGUAAUCUCCACAGUUAAAUUGCCAUAAAAUAUCAUAGUUACAAAUACAUUAAUGAGCAGUUGAAAGGAUAUGACACAUGGUAAUUUAGCAAUUAAUGCACACAUAAAGAAGCAAAUUCAAGAGAAAGAUACUAAUACAUGUAUGUUGUAGGGAAAACAAAGCAGGGUGAAAAAAAUCCAAAAAAAGCUGCAAACUGGACAAUAAGCACAUGAGCAUUGCAACUGUCUCUCCAAACGACAGUCUGGAGAUAUAGAAUCAUUAAAGCUGGAAAAGACCACCAAGUGCAACCAUCAACCCAGCCCCACCAUGCCAAUUGCACGUGUCCCUCAGUGCCACAUCCCCACGGCUCCUGAACACCUCCAGGGACGGUGACCCCACCACCUCCCUGGGCAGCCUAUGCCAAUGCAUCACCAGCAUCUCUGAACAAAGAAGAACAAAGGGCACAGUAAUGUCACAAAACAAUCUGGUGCUGAGCAGUUGUGGUACCAGCUGGAAAACGUCCUCAGUCCAUGCCUGAUUAAGCUCUGCUUUGCUGUCUCCCAUAGUGCAGACAGAUAGAAAACGUCCCCCAUUUAAUAACACUUGCACUCAUCGCUUCCACUGCGGAGGCACUGGGGAGUUCCACGAUAACAUCAUUACAUCACAGCAGUGUUAUAGGAAGGAUGAAGAAUACCUACAUCUGCAGGCAAUCCAGAAGAAAAGCAUUUUCUUCUGAACAGCAAUCAGAAGCUUAAAAGGAGGUGGGGGAGAUGAUGAAAUAAUCACAAUAAUUGCACUGCUUUCAAUACACUUAACGUGUGGUGAAGUUUGUGGUAGAGUUGGUUUAUUUGUUUAAACCUGGCUAAUUUAUCUCCUGCAAAUGAUGUCCAUGAUUAACUGCAUUAAUAUGAUUAUCCUUUUCAGGUCACUGUAAUUGCAUGAAGGAGAAAUUUAGAGUUAUGUUUUCCUUUUGUUGACUAUUAAUUGCUCAUGUAGCUCCACUUGGGUGUACAGGGAGAGAUCCAUUUCUUUCACGGCAUACAGAGACAUAAAUUACAUGAAAUUGAGGAUCUUUUCCCCCACUCUGUGCAGGCAAUGCGUUGUUUGGUGUUUAUUCUUCGCAGAAAAUAUUUAGUCAUUAAUCUUACACAAUACAGUUGGGCAUUUUGAAAUAAAGAAAUUAAGAGUUCAACCA